Long non-coding RNA from Felis catus (domestic cat), 1388 nucleotides. RefSeq lists it as uncharacterized. The record is from RefSeq and is a predicted model, not a curated record. NCBI's taxonomy places the organism in Eukaryota, Metazoa, Chordata, Mammalia, Carnivora, Felidae. The transcript is spliced from 3 exons.
CGUGGCCUUGUGCCAUAAACUUUGUGGGCAACAGACCUCGGAACCUCGUGUAACUUUCCUGUGUCAUCCGCUGUUGUUCUUGUUUUAGUUCUUUACAGCCCUUAAAAAAUGUAAAACGUCUUUGUUAGCUCCAGCUCCUCGCAAAGCUACACCCAGUCGGCCACCGUACUUGUCGUUGGCCACCAGCUGCCCCAGGCUGCCUUGGGCUUUCAGGCCCUCUUCUGUGUGUCUAGGCAGGAACUUCAGAUUCCACUCUGCUGCAGGAGCUUAUCGUCCUCUAAUGCACUUCUCAUAUGCUGCUGGAGGAACCAGAACACCACACAGCCUUCCUGGAGGGCAGAAACAGUGAAGUUGCAAGGAAUUAUGGUGGGGGCCACAGAGGAACAAGGCAAGUUCAAGAUCAGCUGGAAGGUAGGAAAUCAGAGGUAGACAGAGAAAGGCGAACUGAAGCCCAGUGGACACAGAAUAUGCUUAUUUCUGCCCAGCUGGGCUGCAAGAGAGGACGGAACCUGGAGACCACAGGGCACACGCUGGAAGGCAGAAUCUAAGGAGUGCGUCCGCCUUCUGUUACUCUGUUGAGCGACCUCGGCAAAGUCACAUGGCUAUCAAAUGCCUUCACCUCCAAAAGUCUAUGACAGUCUGCAAGCAAGGUGCUAUGAUGGUGGUGCCCACGUGUUAUGUCUCCGUUUUUGGAAAGGCAACUAUGUCCAAUAAUGAGGUGAGGUGAGGUCAGAACUUUAGGGCACAGAGUGUGAUUAAAACAGGCCAUGGGAUACGGUGUGUGUUUUUACAUGAUUUGUUCCCCCGCCUCCUGUUGAGCUAAAAUGUCCGGAAUUUAAGGCCUUUGGCCAGAGAUGCACUUGAAAUUAGUCGUUUCCCUCCUCAUAGAAUCAGGAGGAGGUAGGGACAGCUUGAUGGAGCCCCUGUAGCUGUGAGUUCUGAUUCCCAUCUGCCCUGCCCUGGCCGUAGCUCACCUUCCUCUGGGCAUCAGAAGAAGGGCAAAGAGAUAGGAAGAUGGAGGCAGCUGCCUUUGAACUCAGAGAGGACUCUAGGUAGAUACCCAUCAACAAGAAAUGUUGAAAACACAGGAUAUGCCCAGGGCUGCUCCCACCCCUCCAUCAUGCCUCCUGGUUCGUUUGCAUUUCCCAUUUCCUUGAGUCCCCAGAGCACAUAAGCUUGCUCUUGGGGAGGUCAUGUGGAAAAGACGGGGCUUCAGCUGGGCCCCAGCCGACUGGAAGACCCUGGAGGAGUGGCAAAGGGGACACGGAACUGCCCAGAGCAAGACAGGGACGGGGGCCAGCCCAGGCAGGGAGGGAUGGCAGGCAGGCCCGCCUCGGCACUGACCUCGGGGCAUGUCCAUGGGGUUGAAGCUGGCUAGCAGGUCACGG